GUAUUUUUUAUUUUCACUCGCUUUUUUACGACGAGCUAUUAUUUGACAUUCUAAGACUUUUUAAAGGGUAUGUAAAACAUAGGGAAGGGUUUGACCCCCUCCCUACAGAUGUGCACAGGUGUAUGAAGUUUCGAUCGGGGCGUGCACAUGCCUGUGAAGGCCAGCAACAACCCUUCUCAGAAGGAAUUCAAUAAUGAUCCUUCCGCAGGUUCACCUACGGAAA
RNAcentral lists this unclassified non-coding RNA (223 nucleotides) under uncultured fungus. RNAcentral's name for it is "sequence contains ITS1, 5.8S rRNA gene". The record is from RNAcentral. Lineage: Eukaryota; Fungi.